CUUUGCUAGUCCCAAACAUUAGUAAAUUAUUUUAAAACCCUAGCUGAUUUGUGAGCCUAAUUUUAGUAACAACAACCCUAGCUGAUUUAUGAGCCUAAUUUUAGUAGCAACAAUCCUAGCUGCUCGCCAUAGGUGCUUUCUUCUUUGAAUACAAGUAUAUAUGGCUUCAGGGUACUCACAAAUUUCAUAUUUUUCUUGUUCUUCACCUUCUCACCUGUGUCGUUUUCAUUCUUUGGUACUCCUAAAUUUCAUAUUUUUCUUGUUUCUUCGAAUAGAAAGGUUUUAAGUAGAUUCUUUUUAGCAGUAUCAUGAAUGAUUUUUUUGAUGUUCCCUCUUUUAGUAAUUAUUGCGCUUUCUGUUCCUUUUCAUGUCAAAUUUUUAAAUGUACGGAUACCCAAGUUGCAAUAGUAAGUCAUGUUGCAAGAUAAGAUCUUGUCUUCUUAGAUUCUUUAGAUGUUCUUCAAUUUUGGUAUGUGUAGAUACCUUUUUUUUCAUUGCAAAUUGACAUGGUCAAUGGUAUAGCUUUUUUUGUUGCUCUGAUUUCCUUCAGUUAUGUGCGAUUUGAUUGAUUUUAAGCUCUCCAUGUCAACUAUUAUUGGUUGGAAAAAAUAUUCGAGAGUUUACUGGUAUGGUGGCUACAUUCAAGCUUAGAACCUGUUCCAUUUUCAUAUUGUGUAAUAUCUUGUUCUUUUGUGAUUGUUCUGUAAAACAUAUGUAUCUAUCAGUAGGCAGCUUAAGAUUUGUUGCGAGAAGAUUAACAUUUGUUCAUGUGAAUAAAAAGGACAUUGGAUAGGAGUUAGCGUUGUGUUCGAGUAAUUUGGUAAAUUUUAUAUAUAUUAUGAAUUCUGAUUUGGAGUAUACAUGAUCUGUGUAAUCCCAAAGUUUGCACGUUUCAGCUAGCAGAAACUAGUGCCACUUAGACAAAUAAUUUCAGAUAACUACUUUAAACAUAGGAAAUACGUUUACAAGCUCAAUUUGCUCUUGUAUUUCCUGGCUACUAUUGCGAUGCGAACAUUAGAACUUUCAAAUCUCAUUUUCUUCGGAAUGAACUCUUGGUAUAAAGUUGCAGUUUGACAAAAAGUGCAGCAUUUAAUUUAGAAAUUGAAUUUUGCAUCUGUUCCACUUAAGGAAAAAUUCAACUGCAAUUAUAUGGUAGUUUAGAACUCCAGUAGUUUGUAAAUAGGGUGAAAUUUGUCCAUUAAUCCAUUGAUGUGCUGAACUUUGAGUUGCUUGAACAGUGUACUUGGAGCUCCAAAAUAAAAUUUUGGUUAAGCAGAAACUUUUCAGGUCUUAUGUAGUUGUGUUAUCAGCCAAUUGGCUUUUAUAAUUCAUACAAGUCCAUCUUUCUUAUUCGUUAUACUAUGUGAUUGAUUAUGAGCAUGUAUUUCACUUUACUUUUAGUCACUUGACGAGAGAAAAAAUGUGAUACUAUUUUUAGUCAAUUGGUAGUAAACAACCCUGGACUGAAUACUCAAGAUAUACUAAGGUGUGUUGGAUCCAACCUUCCUUUAUCUGUUGAUGCAAGUAGCACGGUUGUGAGAGGCCAAAAUCAUCCAUAUUCUUCUGGCUGAACUCAUGCUACGAGUCUUGAAAAGGUGAUCCAAUUGGAAAUGUGGCCACAAGUCCAAUUUAAUCUAUUGAAGUGAAUGAUGAAGACUUUUGGAACAAUUGUGAUAUUUAUUAUUCAUCUAUAUGAAUACAUUUGGUUUUUUAUAGUU
Long non-coding RNA from Nicotiana tabacum (common tobacco), 1718 nucleotides. RefSeq lists it as uncharacterized. The record is from RefSeq and is a predicted model, not a curated record. NCBI's taxonomy places the organism in Eukaryota, Viridiplantae, Streptophyta, Magnoliopsida, Solanales, Solanaceae.